This 71-nucleotide transfer RNA is filed under the name Patescibacteria group bacterium. RNAcentral describes it as "tRNA-Trp". It matches the Rfam family "tRNA". Rfam says of the family: Transfer RNA (tRNA) molecules are approximately 80 nucleotides in length. The record is from RNAcentral.
GGGCGUGUUGUAUAGUGGCAGUACAGGGGUCUCCAAAACCUCUAGCGGGGGUUCGAUUCCCUCCACGCCUG